UACGGGGGGGGCAAGCGUUGUUCGGAAUUACUGGGCGUAAAGGGCUCGUAGGCGGCCAACUAAGUCAGACGUGAAAUUCCUCGGCUUAACCGGGGAACUGCAUCUGAUACUGGAUGGCUUGAGUUCGGGAGAGGGAUGCGGAAUUCCAGGUGUAGCGGUGAAAUGCGUAGAUAUCUGGAGGAACACCGGUGGCGAAGGCGGCAUCCUGGACCGACACUGACGCUGAGGAGCGAAAGCCAGGGGAGCAAACGGG
RNAcentral lists this ribosomal RNA (253 nucleotides) under uncultured bacterium. RNAcentral describes it as "partial 16S ribosomal RNA". It matches the Rfam family "Bacterial small subunit ribosomal RNA", at positions 524 to 776 of the family's 1533-position model. The record is from RNAcentral.